GCGAAACCGCCCCAUGCGGGCGGUCGUCCGGCGGUGGUGCGCCGGACCUGACGAGUAGCC
Molecule: non-coding RNA, 60 nt
Filed under: uncultured Bilophila sp.
Lineage: Bacteria; Pseudomonadati; Thermodesulfobacteriota; Desulfovibrionia; Desulfovibrionales; Desulfovibrionaceae
Source: RNAcentral